GUUGCUGUAGGUAAAACCAAAUAAAAAAUAUAAAAAUACUUGCCCUCUUAGUCAGAGACAUUUCAAGUCUAGGGUUGGGUUUCUCAUUUCUUUCUCUUCGAGUUCGAUUCCUUCUACAGCAGCUCCUCUCCUCCUUCUGUGACGACGAGAAGAUGCCGGCGACCACAUCUCCUCUCCUCUCAAGUAGGUCAUGCUCCUUCUUCUCCUUCUUCAUUUCGUUCUCCUUUCGAGAGUUUUUGGUCUGGGUAUCUUCCUUGUUGCUGCUGCUUCAUCGCUGAUUUCUUUGUUUUGUUUUUUUAGGUUUUCACAGUUAUGAUUUCUCUUUCUCACUCUCAUCUCUUCUUCUCUCUCUGGCCUCUGUCGUCGGUUAUUUCAAAGCAGAGAACCUUGGCUUUCUCAGGUCGUCUUUGUCUCCAUCUCAGGAGUUGGGUUUUUUUUUUGGUGGUCUCUCAGAUUCUGAAAACCGCAGAGCAUAGACCAGAUCUUCUUCUUCAUCACCAUCAUCAAUGUUUGUCAGAAAGCUUGUGGAGAAGGCUUCCAAAAAGGCAAGUGAUGUUCCUUUUCUCUUAACCUUCAAUGAAUUUUCAACCCAGCAAUCAAUCUCUCUGUUUCUUUAAGAACAUGGUUCAAUAUCAAUUCAAUGAGAUCAGUCCAUGCUUUUGAAUUUGAUCCACUGUUCUUCUCCUCCUCUUCCCUCCUCUUGUUCUUCUUGUUCUUGUGAAAAAAAACAGAGAAGGGUACUCAAAAGCUAGAAUUAAUAACGAAUUAAAUCUGUCAUUAAGAUAAUAAUUGUCGGGGGAUCUGCAAAUAAAGUUACUUGCUAUCAUUUAUGCUGUAUCCUUUAGCCGUUUGAUGCACGUUGCCUCCAAAUUUUUAAUCAUUUUAGUACUGAACAUAUGUAUAUUAUUAUGUAUGUCAGGUUAAUAAUUAUGAACAAAUAAAUAACUGCCAUAUACAUAUUUUGUUGAUUAUUUUGAUGACAACAGUAAUAAAGAUGGGAUGAAAAAUAAAUAAAAUAUUAUUGGUUGCGUUACAAACAUGAAAUUAGGGGAUUGGGUUCUUGUUUGCAUUUGCUUGAUAUAGACAAUGCUUAAUCACAUCAGGAAUGUGACAUGAUGGUAUAGGUGUCGGUUUGGUAGUUGAGAAUGUUACUAAAUUUUAAGUUGUAUUUGUUUAAUAUAGUGAUGCGUUACUUCAUUCAUUUAAUACGAGAAAAACUUUCAUAUCUUGGUGUCAUUGGUGUUAUUGAAUUACUCUUUUUAUUUCGAGAGAGGCAAGAAGAGAGGGAAAAUGCCAAUAGGGUAUGAGCCCAGUGAAAAAUGACAUUGAUUUGUAGAUCAUAGGUAUUAGGUUCGAGUCGUAUAAUACUUUGGUAAUAUGUGUAUGUGAGAAACUUCAUUCUCUUAUAGUUUAAACUGUCGUUUGUAUUUUUUUUUUUAAAAAAAAGAAGAAGCAAGGGACACUGAAAUAUAGCAAUAUUUUUCUUUAAUAUGAGUCAAUAUUAAGAAAGAAACGCGUUUAAUGGAUGGAUGGGGCCUUGAGGUGGGCGGUUGGAUAAGAAAAAAGCCAAUGUUUUCAUAAAAGAAUUUGUAAGAAAAUUUUGUUUAGUGUUAUAGCUUUGAACUCUAGUAUCGUCUCUUGGGUCUUGUCUUGUCUCAUCCAGUUUGGUAUUAAUUUAUCUAAUUGGGUUUACUUUUGACUCAUUCUCCAUCUUGCAAGGGGAUGUGACCUCACAAAGCUUAGCUUUAAAUUGGUUUUAACUAAAUGUAUGUCUCAAGUUUUAUUAGACCUCCUUUUAAACUUUAUUAAAGGGAUUAACACCCCCACCUCCAUAUAAAUAGCUGCCACGUAUUACCAUCGAAGAAAGAAAACCCUUCUUAAUCUUAAAAGAACCGUUAACAUAUUAUCCAUAUAGUAAUAGUUCUGAAAAAGCAUAUGUUAGGUGCUUUUCUAGAAAACAUUUUUAUAACGAGUUUUUAAUUCGAUGCCGAACAUGCCCUAAAUUUGUGUUCUAAUGUAUGUGGUGCAUGCCAUUGAAAAUGUGAAAGAUCGCUGACGCACUCCCAUCUUCCAUGAAUGAAUACUAUUAACAACCAAAAGCAUCAAUCUUAUUGUAUAAUUUGGAUCUUAUAUUGGAUCCAUUUUCCAGAAAACGAUUGAAGGAAAUAUAAUGGAUUUAUAGUCAACUCAUGGCAAACAAAAGAAAAGUUAAUAUUUGUAAAGACAAUAAAGAGAGAAAGCUAUCCAUGUGAUGGGCGGUGGUUCAAAUGUUUGGGAAAAUUCUACAGUGCGCCAGGCGCACUGAUGCGCCAUUUAUUAUAGACCAUUGGAUGAGUAGCUGGGGCAUGUGGGGUAAUCUAAAGCGUUGAUUGUUGGUUACCGGUUAAAUUGGUUGCUGUAGAUAAAAUCAAAUAAAAAAUAUAAAAAUACUUGCCCUCUUAGUCAGAGACAUUUCAAGUCUAGGGUUGGGUUUCUCAUUUCUUUCUCUUCGAGUUCGAUUCCUUCUACAGCAGCUCCUCUCCUCCUUCUGUGACGACGAGACGAUGCCGGCGACCACAUCUCCUCUCCUCUCAAGUAGGUCAUGCUCCUUCUUCAUUUCGUUCUCCUUUCGAGGGUUUUUGGUCUGGGUAUCUUCCUUGUUGCUGCUGCUUCAUCGCUGGUUUCUUUGUUUUGUUUUUUUAGGUUUUCAUAGUUAUGAUUUCUCUUUCUCACUCUCAUCUGGAUCUCAUUGGCUGGCUUUCUCUCAACCUCUCUGUGGCUGGCUUUCUCUCAACCUCUCUGUGGCAGGGAAGAACUCUAAUUUUCUCCCUCUCUUUCUAACUGUGCGAUUUAGAUGAUUCGCAUCAUAGCAGAAAGUAUUUCAACUUUGAAUUUUGGUCUAGACUUUCUAACAAAAUGAUUUAUAUGUCCUAUUUUAAUUUAGGGCUUAAUGAUUUGGGUAUUGAAUCGCAAGUCCUUAUUUAUUUUUUUUGGUAAUAUUUUGGAUUUAUAUAGGAAUUUGGUAAUUUUUUGAAAUUAUAAUUAUGUUUUUUUUUUCUUUCGAAUUGUUCUCUCUCCCACCUCUCCCCUUUCUCCCUCUUAGAUAUAUCGUUGCUAAUUUCUUACUUUUUUUAUUAUUUGAAUUUGAGGGUUGGAAGCUUGAGAGUUGUUCAUUCUUGAUAAUGAUAUGGGACUUUAAAUUGAUGGCCUUGAGACUGCAUAUUGUUCAAACCAAAAGCACUGGGUUCUUGAAGGAAGAUGCUAGAAGAUGGAGAUAGGAUUGAGACAUUUUAUGUACUCUGUUUACUUGAGAUCUCAAUGUUAAAAUAAUGAUCUAGAACCUGAGAUAGGAUUGAGACAUUUAUUGUCCUCCACGACAAUAGAGCAAAUUGGUGUCCGUUACAACCCAUGAGAUCCAUGACUUCUUAUAAUGUAUUAUUUUUGUGCUUGAGAUAAUUGAGUCUGAAUUGUA
This 3451-nucleotide long non-coding RNA is filed under the name Prunus dulcis (almond). Its description in RNAcentral is "sRNA ncRNA". The record is from RNAcentral. Lineage: Eukaryota; Viridiplantae; Streptophyta; Magnoliopsida; Rosales; Rosaceae.